RNAcentral lists this ribosomal RNA (253 nucleotides) under uncultured bacterium. RNAcentral describes it as "partial 16S ribosomal RNA". It matches the Rfam family "Bacterial small subunit ribosomal RNA", at positions 524 to 776 of the family's 1533-position model. The record is from RNAcentral.
UACGGGGGGUGCAAGCGUUGUCCGGAAUCAUUGGGCGUAAAGCGCGCGUAGGUGGCCUCAUAAGUCCGCUGUGAAAGUCAAAGGCUCAACCUUUGAAAGCCGGUGGAUACUGUGGGGCUAGAGUACGGAAGAGGCGAGUGGAAUUCCUGGUGUAGCGGUGGAAUGCGCAGAUAUCAGGAGGAACACCAAUAGCGAAGGCAGCUCGCUGGGACGUUACUGACACUGAGGCGCGAAAGCGUGGGGAGCGAACAGG